Molecule: long non-coding RNA, 708 nt
Organism: Zeugodacus cucurbitae (melon fly)
Lineage: Eukaryota; Metazoa; Arthropoda; Insecta; Diptera; Tephritidae
Exons: 3
Source: RefSeq, a predicted model, not a curated record
UUUCUUUCCGGUUACUAAAUAAUUUUCUUUUCACUAAUCAGCUAUUGGGCGGCGCGCAUCAAAUUUCGCCGACAAAUUACGUGAAUAAAAGUUACUAAAAUGAUUUAAAAUUGCUAUAAAUUUACAAUAAAGCGUAUAAAAUACUGCAUAGUUAAAAAAAAACGAAGAUAUUAAGCGAAUCUGGAUAAAUUUACUCAAAUUUAAGAUGCUGCACAAUGAAUACUAUUAACUACGGCUCAGGCUGCUAAAUGAAGAUAAAAUGUGCUAAAUGAGCAAAUAAUACUUCACUGAUUGAUCCGAAAAACUCCACUAGAAUUGAUGCAUGAAUUGACGUGGAAAUCUUCAAAAUCUUCACUUAGUGGAAAACAUCCAACAAAAUGCUGCUUUUCAGCCUAAAAUCCAGCAUAUUAAUAUUUUGUUUGUAUUUUAUAAGCUAGUUGUAGAAAAAUCGGUAUUGUUCCUAAAUGUUAAAUGUUUAAAUUUUAGGUUAACUUGAAUUUAAACCAAAAAGCAGCAAAAUGCUGUUUUAAAAUUAUGAAAAACUUUGAUUAAUUAGAAAGACUGAAAAGUGUAUAUGAACAUGAAAAAAAAAUGGACUGAAAUGUAUAGUUGAUAAGGUGAAAAUGAAAUUGAAAGUAUGAAAAAAAUUAAUGAAAAAUAUAUAUAAAAUAAAAUGAGAAAAUAAUGAUUGAAAUGAAAACAUAAAAA